CAUGCAAGUCGAGCGAAGCCUUCGGGCUUAGCGGCGGACGGGUGAGUAACGCGUGGGAACGUGCCCCUUGGUACGGAAUAGUCCCUGGAAACGGGGUUUAAUACCGUAUGAGCUCUUCGGAGGAAAGAUUUAUCGCCAAGGGAUCGGCCCGCGUUGGAUUAGGUAGUUGGUGGGGUAAUGGCCUACCAAGCCGACGAUCCAUAGCUGGUUUGAGAGGAUGAUCAGCCACACUGGGACUGAGACACGGCCCAGACUCCUACGGGAGGCAGCAGUGGGGAAUCUUAGACAAUGGGGGAAACCCUGAUCUAGCCAUGCCGCGUGAUUGAUGAAGGCCUUAGGGUUGUAAAGAUCUUUCGCUGGGGAAGAUAAUGACGGUACCCAGUAAAGAAGCCCCGGCUAACUCCGUGCCGGCAGCCGCGGUAAUACGGAGGGGGCUAGCGUUGUUCGGAAUUACUGGGCGUAAAGCGCGCGUAGGCGGACUGGAAAGUUGGGGGUGAAAUCCCGGGGCUCAACCCCGGAACUGCCUCCAAAACUGUCAGUCUGGAGUUCGAGAGAGGUGAGUGGAAUUGCGAGUGUAGAGGUGAAAUUCGUAGAUAUUCGCAGGAACACCAGUGGCGAAAGCGGCUCACUGGCUCGAUACUGACGCUGAGGUGCGAAAGUGUGGGGAGCAUACAGGAUUAGAUACCCUGGUAGUCCACACCGUAAACGAUGAAUGCCAGACGUCGGGCAGCAUGCUGUUCGGUGUCACACCUAACGGAUUAAGCAUUCCGCCUGGGGAGUACGGCCGCAAGGUUAAAACUCAAAGGAAU
RNAcentral lists this ribosomal RNA (809 nucleotides) under uncultured Alphaproteobacteria bacterium. RNAcentral's name for it is "bacterial SSU rRNA". It matches the Rfam family "Bacterial small subunit ribosomal RNA", at positions 54 to 910 of the family's 1533-position model. Lineage: Bacteria; Pseudomonadati; Pseudomonadota; Alphaproteobacteria. The record is from RNAcentral.